GGAUUAGAUACCCUGGUAGUCCACGCCGUAAACGAUGAGAACUAGCCGUUGGGCUCCUUGAGGGCUUAGUGGCGCAGCUAACGCGAUAAGUUCUCCGCCUGGGGAGUACGGCCGCAAGGCUAAAACUCAAAUGAAUUGACGGGGGCCCGCACAAGCGGUGGAGCAUGUUGUUUAAUUCGAUGCAACGCGAAGAACCUUACCACCCCUUGACAUCCAGCGAACUUUCUAGAGAUAGAUUGGUGCCUUCGGGAACGCUGUGACAGGUGUUGCAUGGCUGUCGUCAGCUCGUGCCG
This 293-nucleotide ribosomal RNA is filed under the name uncultured bacterium. Its description in RNAcentral is "partial 16S ribosomal RNA". It matches the Rfam family "Bacterial small subunit ribosomal RNA", at positions 775 to 1067 of the family's 1533-position model. The record is from RNAcentral.